Molecule: transfer RNA, 72 nt
Filed under: Candidatus Aenigmatarchaeota archaeon
Lineage: Archaea; Nanobdellati; Candidatus Aenigmatarchaeota
Description: tRNA-His
Rfam family: tRNA
About the family: Transfer RNA (tRNA) molecules are approximately 80 nucleotides in length. Their secondary structure includes four short double-helical elements and three loops (D, anti-codon, and T loops). Further hydrogen bonds mediate the characteristic L-shaped molecular structure. tRNAs have two regions of fundamental functional importance: the anti-codon, which is responsible for specific mRNA codon recognition, and the 3' end, to which the tRNAs corresponding amino acid is attached (by aminoacyl-tRNA synthetases). tRNAs cope with the degeneracy of the genetic code in two manners: having more than one tRNA (with a specific anti-codon) for a particular amino acid; and 'wobble' base-pairing, i.e. permitting non-standard base-pairing at the 3rd anti-codon position.
Source: RNAcentral
GUCGCGAUAGCGUAACGUGUAGCGUAUCAGCCCGUGGAGCUGAAGAUGCGGGUUCAAAUCCCGCUCGCGACC